Molecule: RNA transcript, 1891 nt
Organism: Cynara cardunculus var. scolymus (artichoke)
Lineage: Eukaryota; Viridiplantae; Streptophyta; Magnoliopsida; Asterales; Asteraceae
Gene name: protein root UVB sensitive 3
Exons: 15
Source: RefSeq, a predicted model, not a curated record
GACGAUCAUUCGGCGGCCAUGGAAGAAAAAUUCGACAAGGUGAAGCCUCAAAUUAUAGUUGAGGAAUGGAGUGGAUCUUCUUUGAACAAACUCUCGUUGACUGCCGUUAUAUCGCCGUCUUCUUCUUCGUCUUUCACCUUGAAAAGACACGGUAAUCGAUUCAACAUUUUCUCCCGAAGGUUUAUCGAAGCGUUUGUUCCAGAGGGGUUUCCGAGCAGCGUGACUCCAGAUUAUAUUCCUUUUCAGACAUGGGAUCUAUUGCAGGGCCUCUCAACAUACAUUAGGACCAUGCUUUCUACACAAGCUCUUCUAAGUGCUAUAGGAGUUGGGGAGAAAUCAGCAACUGUAAUUGGGGCUACUUUUCAGUGGUUUUUGAGGGAUUUAACUGGAAUGCUAGGAGGUGUCAUGUUCACAUUCUACCAGGGCUCAAACCUAGACAGCGAUGCCAAAAUGUGGCGUUUGGUUGCAGACCUAAUGAAUGAUCUUGGAAUGCUGAUGGACCUUCUUUCUCCAUUGUUUCCUUCGGCAUUUGUAUUCAUUGUCUGCUUAGGGAGCUUGUCAAGAUCUUUCACUGGUGUUGCCAGUGGAGCAACUAGAGCUGCUUUGACCCAGCAUUUUGCUCUUCAGAAUAAUGCUGCAGAUAUAUCUGCAAAGGAAGGAAGCCAGGAGACAGUUGCAACAAUGAUGGGAAUGGCUUUAGGAAUGUUUCUUGCACACAUUACGAUGGGACACUCAACAAUAAUAUGGUUCUCUUUUCUGUCGCUCACCAUGUUCCACAUGUAUGCUAAUUACAAAGCUGUAAGGUGUCUUAAUCUGACUACAUUAAACUGUGAAAGAAGCUCAAUUCUUUUGCUGCAUUUCAUGGAGACUGGCCGAGUUCUCUCUCCAAAAGAGGUCUCAGACUUGGAGCAUGUUUUACCGUUAUGGAUAAGUUCUUGGAGCUCAAAGCGUACCAAACUUUUGUAUGCACGGGUACGCUUAGGUGCGAGGGUUUCCUCACUUGACAGCCUGGAAAUGAUGGAGCUAUUAAGUUCUGCUGGAUCUCGAUAUGAGAAAGCAAAAUACAUGCUACUUGAGAAGAAGGGAAUCAUCAGCAUUGUCAUGCAUAAAGAUUCAACUACUGGAGAUGUCAUGCAAGGGUUCAUGCAUGCUCUUGUUAUGGCAAAUCUUGUAGAUGAUAAGCCUACGUCAUUACAUACAGAUAGCCAAACAUGGAUGGACAAACACUAUGAAGCCUUUGUUUUGAAGCUUCAAUCAUCUGGUUGGAAAACGGAGCGCCUUUUGUCUUCGUCAAUCAUCUGGAGGGCAAACUGGAGCCAUGGGGCUCCAGAUAAGAAGAUAAACUAGAAGAAAAUGCCUAUACAGUCAUACAGACAAAAUCCAAAGAUCGCCCCCUCUCUGGAGAAUGAAAAUGGAAAGACAACCGAUGAAUUCAGAUGACGCCAUUAGAACUCCAACAGCCACAAUAAACAUGGACAGCAUGCCUACGAGAAAUAUAUACGUUCUCCGGGAUGAUCUUCGAUAUUCACCAAAAAUGAGCACACCCCAAAAGGUACUCACAAGUGGAAGCGCCUGAAAUGAGUUCACAACAAGCUCAUAAGGUAAACAUAGACAUGAGACUUAAUUUAUUUUCUCCAAAUGCAUUGGCGGGUUGUACAGUACAACUCAGUUUUGCAUCUGGGAAGUCUAGAAGUGGAACUAGAUGCAUAAAUGAGCUAUACACUAGAACCUACUAAUGCAUUUUAUCCAGACAGUACUCACCAUCAAAUAUUUUGAAUCAAAUGCAUUGCUUAGUUGUACUAUAUAGUACAACAAUGUAUGAAAUUAGAUACAUAGAUGAGUUGCAGACUAGGACCUAGCGAUGCCUUCUUUCGAGAUAUGACACAGUAAG